AUAACGACUCUCGGCAACGGAUAUCUCGGCUCUCGCAUCGAUGAAGAACGUAGCGAACUGCGAUACUUGACGCAAGUUGCGCCCGAAACCUUUGGUCGAGGGCACGUUUGCCUGGGUGUCACA
RNAcentral lists this ribosomal RNA (123 nucleotides) under Eucalyptus abdita. RNAcentral describes it as "5.8S ribosomal RNA". It matches the Rfam family "5.8S ribosomal RNA". Rfam says of the family: 5.8S ribosomal RNA (5.8S rRNA) is a component of the large subunit of the eukaryotic ribosome. It is transcribed by RNA polymerase I as part of the 45S precursor that also contains 18S and 28S rRNA. Lineage: Eukaryota; Viridiplantae; Streptophyta; Magnoliopsida; Myrtales; Myrtaceae. The record is from RNAcentral.